RNAcentral lists this long non-coding RNA (240 nucleotides) under Ricinus communis (castor bean). Its description in RNAcentral is "long non-coding RNA (RCOM_LNC002150)". The record is from RNAcentral. Lineage: Eukaryota; Viridiplantae; Streptophyta; Magnoliopsida; Malpighiales; Euphorbiaceae.
CCAUAUUCAAUGUUGAUGUAUUUACUAAGGAUCAUUCACCUAAUCAAGCAAAGAAACUCUAACUCCCAACAAGAACCUUAAAUAACUUAUACUUAAGAACCUUAAUUAUAAAGAAUUAAAGGUUGUUUAACAUAAAUAAAAGUUUAGAUUAAACUAAAUUUGUAAAAUACCAAGCCUUUAAGCAUUGGAUCAGUGCCUAUGAUUGCCGCUUCCAUGCGCUUUCACUCAACACUCGUGUUU